This 588-nucleotide long non-coding RNA is filed under the name Oryctolagus cuniculus (rabbit). RNAcentral's name for it is "lncRNA (ENSOCUG00000036072.1)". The record is from RNAcentral. Lineage: Eukaryota; Metazoa; Chordata; Mammalia; Lagomorpha; Leporidae.
GUUAUGAAAGUAUAUGUAAAGGCUUACUAUUUUGCUGAUUUUUGAAGUGGAUAUUUAAGUGAUGCUAAAUACAUUCAUGUUGUAUAAACAUCAUCACUAUCCAUCUCCAGAACUUUAAAAAUUAAUUAAACUAUAACUGUACCUGUUAAAUAAAAACUUAUUGGUUGUGGCUUCCCUCAGUCCCUGGUAACUACCAUUCUGUCUCUGUUUAUGUGAUUACUCUAAGUAUCUCAUCUAAGUGGAAUCAUCCAAUAUGUGUCCUUUUUUUCUUCAUUGGCUUAUUUCAUUUAACAUAGCAUCCUCAAAAUUCAUCUGUGUUGUCACGUGUUAGAAUUUCCUUUCUUUUUUAGGUUGGUUAAUAUUUCAUUGAAUGUAAAUGGGUGCUUGAAACCUUUGUGGAAAAUGGAAUUAAAGGAUAAGUUCAGGGGGCUGGAACAUGUAACCAUGGAAAGUACCUUCUUUUGCUGGCAGGGAAACAAAAUCAUCAAGAUGCUGGUUUACAACUGAGAGCUUGAAGGACGGUAGGAAUGUUCAUAUUCUGAGCAAUCCCCUGGGUAACUAUGAAUAAAUUGGAUAUACAGACAGCCA